This is a non-coding RNA of Peromyscus maniculatus bairdii (prairie deer mouse), 2729 nucleotides long. The record is from RefSeq and is a predicted model, not a curated record. NCBI's taxonomy places the organism in Eukaryota, Metazoa, Chordata, Mammalia, Rodentia, Cricetidae.
AAGCCCGCCCGCCGUCCCAGCCAAUGAGGCUUCCAGGGUGACACGCCUGCACCUGCGCACACUGGGGAGAGGGGCGGAGGGAGAGGCGUUCAUUUGCUGAGCCCUGCUUUGUUUAAAAUCCCCUGUUCUGAGACUGAACUUGGCACAAAGGCAAGAGAAGUGAGUAAUGGAUUUGUCACAGCUGGAAGUAGACGAGAAUGCAGUGAGGAUGCCACGGAGUCCAGAGAAUGUACCAGAUGUCCUGGAGCUGGAGCCACAGAAGGUUCUGAACCCUAAGAGACAUUUGCUUUUAAGAGCUAGAAACUCAGAAGUAAUUGAUCCAGAAUCCUUUGUGGAGUGUCUACUCAUUGGGAAAGAAAAUACACUUCAUCUCAACAGGGAUGCUGUUACUCUAUGAACUGUCCCUGCAACUAUACCCUAGAAAAGAAUAAACAAAAUAAUGUCUUUUCAUGUAUCAUAUAUACUGUUUGUCCUCAAUUUUAUAUCAAGUAGAAAAUAUGAGGUUAAAGCUGUUUAAAACAUUCAUGAAAAAUAACAAUUUCUGAAGUAUCACCACAUUAGGUAUGGGAGGGUUUUAAAUGCCAUAUUCAUUAAAAAUUUGAUGAACUUAGUUUUAUAUUACCUGAUAUGCAUCUUUUAAAAAGCUGUUUUGGUACCAAAUCCAAUACCAGGUACAUUUUACUUCCUGGUGAACAUUCCACACUCUCUCUACAGUAAAAGUUCUGGAUCCAGGCAAGGACAAGUCUUUAGAGCACACAUAAGGCAAUAGCUUGUAAUGCAGUUUGUUUGUCCAAGGAGUUCUUGGCUCUGUAGCAGUGGCAGUAACAGAAAUGUGUCUGGAAGUCCCAAGCCCAGGGAGAUAUGGAAGAAAGACAAUGAAAGAGCAGAUGGAUAUCUUUACAGUGCAAUGAUUUCAGAGCCACACUUGGGGUCAUGCCCAUUUUUUCUAACAGAGAUGUGACAAAGAGGACAGACAGGGGCUAGUGAGAAAAGCAUCUAUCUCGGUGGUUUAAAAAAAAUCUUUUUAGAUUAUCGAAGAUUCUAAAGAUUAAAAUGAAUAUGAUUUUAAUUGUUUAGUCAUAGAAUACAAAAACUUGGUAGCAUUGCUUUAUAGAUAAUAUGUCACAUUUAAUGAUAAAUAACCUGGUUAUCAAGGGUGUAUUCAGCAUAAAAAAUGCAUAUUCUUAUAUUGUUAUUUGUUCUCUUAGAAGCAAGAUAAAAAUCUACAUUAAGACUGUUUGGGGGCUUUCUAAGGAGACUCUUGCCGUGUAUCUUUCAGUAUCUCUCUUUUGUUCUUGAAUUGUUCAUAAUCAUCCAUCACUUCCUGUUUCUACAAUACACUGAUGUCACAUGGGAGUACUGAGACAACUUUAGACUCUUGAUCACUGGAUUUUAAAGUUGUUAAAGUUAUAAAAAUAUUGGUGUGUAUUUUAGGAAUCUCUAAAUUGUGUUGAAAACCAAGUGACUCUGAAUACUAUCAAUUGGGGUCUUCUAAAAAUAAAAAAUAAACAAAACAAACAACUAGAAGACACGUGAGAUAUGUGGAUUUGGAGAAGGGCUAACAGUGUUAGGGUUAAUAGCGAACAUAUAUGCUAAUGGUUGUAUGUUAGAUGAAAAGUAUGUUGUAUGAUGCAGUAUUAGAUGUAGUUGUACUAGCUCAGGGUGGUGGAUAUCCACAGGGCAGACUUGUUUGCUGUGACAGAACAUGUACAACCUAAGCAGUCUUAUAGUAACAACUCAGUGGCAUUGUGCACCUUCAUGUUGUGUAACUGUCAUUACCAUUCAUUUCUAGAACUGUUUAUAUCUUAAACUUGACUCCUGUUACCCCUUUCCACAGUCUUGGUAAUACUAUUCUAUACUUUCUAUGAAUUUGAUUCUUCCAGCUACCUUGUGUGAGUCAAAUCAUACAGUGGCUGCUUUUGUGCAUGACAUAUUUCACUAGAAUAUUGCUCAUGAAGAUCAUCCAUGCUGUAGCAGAACUCCACCUUUUUUCAGGCGGCAUGUGUACACCAUGUUUUGUGUAUCCAUGUAUCUGUUGAUGGACACUUGGCUUGUUUCCAAUUUUGACUACUGUGUGUAAUGCUGCUGUGAACAUUAGCGUACACAUAUCUGUUUUAGCCCAUGCUUCCAAUUCAUUUUGGAAUGUAGCUAGCAGUACCAUUGCUGGCUCAUAUGGCAAUUCUAAAUUUAAGUUUUGAGGACUUGCCGUUCUGUCUUCCAUAGCAGAUGUAUCAUUUUACAUUCCCAUCAACAAUUGCACAAGGGUCCCCAAUUUUCCACACCCUCCCCAGCUCUUAUUUUCAAUAUUGUUUGUUUUUUUAUAACAGACAUUUUAACCAUAUUCUUAUCUGUAGUUCCCUAUGGGAACAAGAAAAAUACUAUCAUGUGCUUAUUUACCAUUGAUUGUAUCUUCUUUGGAGAAGUGUCUAUUAACAUUCUUCACUUAUUUUCCAUUUUCUUUUUGUUUUUUGUUACUGACUGAUACUUGCUUCUAUUUUGAAAGUUAAUUCCUUACAAACUCUUUUGUUGGAAGCAUUAACUUUUUACUCUCUUGUCAUCAUCCUUUGAAGGACUAAAGUCUUAAAUUUUCAUAGUCUAAUUACUCUCUUCUGGUUGUCUAUGGUUUUGCACUGGACCUGGGAAGCUUAAUCAUAAUGCAGCAAUAUUUGAAAACAGUGCUGGUAAAGAAAUGAGUGUGUGAAUGCAAUUUCUUGAUCGCCAAAUGCAAU